Molecule: long non-coding RNA, 214 nt
Filed under: Trifolium pratense (red clover)
Lineage: Eukaryota; Viridiplantae; Streptophyta; Magnoliopsida; Fabales; Fabaceae
Description: long non-coding RNA (TPRA_LNC005958)
Source: RNAcentral
UCAAUACAACCACAGUCUCCACAUGCAUAAAUAUCAGAUAAAAAGACUCCAAUACAAUAUCAUUAAUAUUAUCAAUUGAAUAUUAGAUCAAAUUUAAACACGAGUACGAAAACAAAUUAAAAACCACCAACCAAACAUACAGCGACUUGCGGUUGCAUUUUCUGUGGUUUGAGUUGGUUAAAGGUGUCGCUUCCUAAUAUAUAUAUAUGUCCAC